Camelus dromedarius (Arabian camel) is the source of this 72-nucleotide small nucleolar RNA. The record is from Ensembl. Lineage: Eukaryota; Metazoa; Chordata; Mammalia; Artiodactyla; Camelidae.
UAGACCAAUGAUGAGUAUCCUGGGGUGUCUGAAUCUGGAAUUUUGAUUAAGCCUUAUAGCUCUGAGAUCUAU